GGGGAAAGUCUUUGACUUGCUAGCCAGCCGUAGUAGUAAUAAUACGAAUCAACCCCCCGAAGAGUUAAGAGAGAUUCAAACUCAAAUCGAGCAUUUGACUAUCCACUUUGAUGAGGGUAGCGUCCAUGAGUCUGCAGGCCAGUUGAAGGGGAAGUUCUUCAAUAAGGAUAGACAAUCAGCUAGGGAUUACCUUCUUGAUAAAUUGAAGGAUGAUAAAGAUAAAGAUAUUGUUAGAGGUAUGGGCACCUAUACACUGGAAUGUGUAGCAAUACAUGUGUUAAGCAAGCUGUUUAAUGUGUUUUCUUUGGAAAAGACUAGUGUGCUAGCAGCCGCAUUGAUAUCAGAGCUAGAUAUAACAGCUAAGACGGAAUAUAAUAAUGCACUAUUAGCUAAAAUGCAGCGCGAAAAGGAAUAAACUGAAAAGCUAAUAAAGCGCUAUGAUGAAAAGCUGGCCAAGGCUGCAAUGAUGAAUGAAGGUACUGAUACAAAUAUUGAUAAUAUACACGAUGAUAAAAAGCUUAAGGGUAUGGAAUCACCUGUGGGUAUUAUCCCUGUCCUGGGAACAGAUGGGAGACAUAUAGACUAAUCUAUACAGAAUAAAUCGAGUAGUAAUAAAAAGAGCACUAAAAAGAGUGAUGUUAUAAGGAAACGAAUACGUAAAGGUUAGGUUGGGUUUCUGAUGUAUAUCAUUUAUUAUAUGAAACCAAAAAGAAGAAAUGACAAGAAAGUUGUAUAUAGAUGGAGGAUAAAAUUACGAUGUGGAAAACAAGACAGGGUUUUUUUUUGUACAAUGACACUGUACAACAAUUUGGAAAAGGGAUGUAGCGCAGCUUGGUAGCGCGUUUGUUUUGGGUACAAAAUGUAACGGGUUCAAAUCCAGUCAUCCCUACCUAUUACUUCUCCUAUGGGCAGUAACGAGGGAUCAAUUGAGAUCGAUUCAAAUUGGACAAAAUUAAGAGUUUAAUUUUGCUAUAUGCAUGCGGUACAAAAAUCAUCCUUUUCUUUACUGCUUUAUCUCCUGUCGUAAGAAAGCGCUCUUAGUUCAGUUCGGUAGAACGUGGGUCUCCAAAACCCAAUGUCGUAGGUUCAAAUCCUACAGAGCGUGAUUCUUU
RNAcentral lists this transfer RNA (1112 nucleotides) under Zea mays. RNAcentral's name for it is "misc RNA Zm00001eb111220". The stretch from base 1032 to 1105 matches the Rfam family "tRNA". The record is from RNAcentral. Lineage: Eukaryota; Viridiplantae; Streptophyta; Magnoliopsida; Poales; Poaceae.